AGAAUCAUUCGCAAUGGGGGCAACCCUGACGGUGCGACGCCGCGUGGAGGAUGACGGUCUUCGGAUUGUAAACUCCUGUCAUCGAAGAGUAAGGCUUCAUGGUGAAUAGCUGUGAAGAUUGAUAGUAUUCGACGAGGAAGGGACGGCUCACUUCGUGCCAGACGCCGCGGUAAUACGAAGUUCCCCAGCGUUGUUCGGAAUCACUGGGCGUAAAGGGUGCGUAGGCGGCGUGGUAAGUCAGAUGUGAAAUGCCGGGGCUCAACUCCGGAACGGCAUCCGAUACUGCCAUGCUAGAGUAGUGGAGGGGCGACUGGAAUUCACGGUGUAGCAGUGAAAUGCGUAGAUAUCGUGAGGAACACUAGUGGCGAAGGCGAGUCGCUGGACACUUACUGACGCUGAUGCACGAAGGCCAGGGUAGCGAAA
This 423-nucleotide ribosomal RNA is filed under the name uncultured bacterium. RNAcentral describes it as "bacterial SSU rRNA". It matches the Rfam family "Bacterial small subunit ribosomal RNA", at positions 358 to 773 of the family's 1533-position model. The record is from RNAcentral.